GCUCAGUCCUUUGGAUAUUAAUCUGACUGGGUUGGCUGGUGCACCUAAAUAAUACAUAUAUCCUCCUCAACCCCAUCGGUCUCUCUGAUUCCUAAAUCAUCCCCAAACAUUUCUGGUGGCCCAUAUGGGGAUUGGAGAUAACAGAUUUACUGUCUCCUUUGCCCAUGGGACUAGGGCCCUGGGGCUGUGGAAGACCUGGCAUCCAAGGCAUGCCAUGGGGGAGUUUCACCCGGAUGGAGACUGGCUCUCCCCGCAUCCUGCCCAGCAGUGCAACUGAACCUGAGAUGGGGCUGCAGGAUGACACCAGCACUUCAGGAACCGCGGAGUUCAGGAAACAGAAGCCAUGCCAUGUGAAAAACUGCUUAUGAACUUCACCGAAUUACCCUGUGAUGGGGGCUAUCAGUACAUGUUGGUGUUCACCUUUUCAGGAUAAGUCAAGGCCUUCCUCACCGGGACAGAGAAGGAACUAGAGGUGACCAAAGUGUUGUUAAAAGACAUUAUUCCCAGAUUUGGACUGCCUCUAACUCUAAGAUCUCACAAUGGACCAACAUUUGUGGCUGAAAUAGUUCAGGACUUAACUUGACUAUUAAAAAUAAAAUGGAAAUAACAUAUAGCCUACAGACUGCAGAGCUCAGGUAAAGCGAAGAGCAUGAACCAGACACUAAAACAACUGCUGAAGAAAUUGUGUCAAGAAACUCAUCAAAGGUAGGAUCAGGUCUUGCCCAUGGUCCUCCUCCAAGUCAGGUGCACCUCCACCAAGCAAACUGGGUAUUCCCCCUCUGAGAUUUUGUUCAGCCGGCCACCCCCCAUCAUCUGUAGACUAGAAGAAGUAACUUUAAGAAGGCAAAUGCAGACUUUAAGUAU
RNAcentral lists this long non-coding RNA (864 nucleotides) under Homo sapiens (human). Its description in RNAcentral is "HSALNT0384901". Lineage: Eukaryota; Metazoa; Chordata; Mammalia; Primates; Hominidae. The record is from RNAcentral.